Hymenopellis radicata is the source of this 89-nucleotide non-coding RNA. The record is from the annotation of a GenBank genome assembly. Lineage: Eukaryota; Fungi; Basidiomycota; Agaricomycetes; Agaricales; Physalacriaceae.
GCAUUAAUGGGGUAGUGGUAACCUGGGUCGUUGCCAUCCUGGUUUCCUCGUUUCUCGACCCGCCGGGGGUUCGAUUCCCCCUUAAUGCA